AUUGAACGCUGGCGGCAGGCCUAACACAUGCAAGUCGAACGGUAACAGGAAGCAGCUUGCUGCUUUGCUGACGAGUGGCGGACGGGUGAGUAAUGUCUGGGAAACUGCCCGAUGGAGGGGGAUAACUACUGGAAACGGUAGCUAAUACCGCAUAACGUCGCAAGACCAAAGAGGGGGACCUUAGGGCCUCUUGCCAUCGGAUGUGCCCAGAUGGGAUUAGCUAGUAGGUGGGGUAACGGCUCACCUAGGCGACGAUCCCUAGCUGGUCUGAGAGGAUGACCCGCCACACUGGAACUGAGACACGGUCCAGACUCCUACGGGAGGCAGCAGUGGGGAAUAUUGCACAAUGGGCGCAAGCCUGAUGCAGCCAUGCCGCGUGUAUGAAGAAGGCCUUCGGGUUGUAAAGUACUUUCCGCGGGGAGGAAGGGAGUAAAGUUAAUACCUUUGCUCAUUGACGUUACCCGCAGAAGAAGCACCGGCUAACUCCGUG
This 490-nucleotide ribosomal RNA is filed under the name uncultured bacterium. Its description in RNAcentral is "partial 16S ribosomal RNA". It matches the Rfam family "Bacterial small subunit ribosomal RNA", at positions 30 to 507 of the family's 1533-position model. The record is from RNAcentral.